Molecule: ribosomal RNA, 701 nt
Filed under: uncultured bacterium
Lineage: Bacteria
Description: bacterial SSU rRNA
Rfam family: Bacterial small subunit ribosomal RNA
Source: RNAcentral
UGCAGUCGAACGGUAACAGGUCUUCGGAUGCUGACGAGUGGCGAACGGGUGAGUAAUACAUCGGAACGUGCCCGAUCGUGGGGGAUAACGGAGCGAAAGCUUUGCUAAUACCGCAUACGAUCUACGGAUGAAAGCAGGGGACCGCAAGGCCUUGCGCGGACGGAGCGGCCGAUGGCAGAUUAGGUAGUUGGUGGGAUAAAAGCUUACCAAGCCGACGAUCUGUAGCUGGUCUGAGAGGACGACCAGCCACACUGGGACUGAGACACGGCCCAGACUCCUACGGGAGGCAGCAGUGGGGAAUUUUGGACAAUGGGCGAAAGCCUGAUCCAGCCACGCCGCGUGCAGGAUGAAGGCCUUCGGGUUGUAAACUGCUUUUGUACGGAACGAAAAGACUCCUUCUAAUAAAGGGGGUUCAUGACGGUACCGUAAGAAUAAGCACCGGCUAACUACGUGCCAGCAGCCGCGGUAAUACGUAGGGUGCAAGCGUUAAUCGGAAUUACUGGGCGUAAAGCGUGCGCAGGCGGUUAUAUAAGACAGAUGUGAAAUCCCCGGGCUCAACCUGGGAACUGCAUUUGUGACUGUAUAGCUAGAGUACGGUAGAGGGGGAUGGAAUUCCGCGUGUAGCAGUGAAAUGCGUAGAUAUGCGGAGGAACACCGAUGGCGAAGGCAAUCCCCUGGACCUGUACUGACGCUCAUGCACG